CACUUACACUAGGGGAUGUAGCAGUGUAUCAACUCGUGUUUCCAUCAUUAAAAUAACUUGCAACUGGUACUACCUAUCUUAAGGAAUGCAAUCUUGUCCUGUGGUCCUGAUCAGUUUGUAAUACACACGUGAAAGGUGCCAUAUAAAAACGGCUGCUGCCUUCAUAGGAUUGGAGAACGUGUUGAUUGACAGAACAAGAGGGAAAGUGUUUCAACUCUUGAAAAUUAUUGCUUUUGUAUUACUCACUUUGCUAGAAUGUAAUUGGUUAAAAGCGUGUAUACUUGGUUCACAUCACUUGAUGUUUUGUUUGCUUUACUCUCUACGUUUAUUAUGCAUUCAUUCCAAAAUGAAUCAGCUGAUUCUUUUCUCUGUUGAUUGUGAAUGAGGAUGUGAAGGCAUUUACUUGUACUUAGUCGCAUUAUUUACAGAAAUGAAAUGGGUUUGUUUUAGGUAAUUACGCAUAUUUGGGAGUGAAGUGAAAAAUAUGCAUUAUGUUAUUUAUAUGCCUGCAACUUGAAGCUCUUAGUGGAUAGUUGAGAGACUUGGAUGUUGAUGUGUUUUUAAGUCUAUAAGGCUCAAGUUGAGCUUGGCUGAUUCUUGACAUUGCUGUUUGUGUUUUGCUUGAUGAGUGCCUAAACGAGUUCCAAAGUUCAAUUAAAUUUCUACAUUUCAGUGCUUUUAUUGAAACUAAUGUAAGUGAAUAAAGCUUUGACUUUUCAUCUUUCCCUUCAGAAAUAUGCCAGUGGCUUACAUAUAUAAUGCAAAUGUAAGCAAGGUACUGCUUGAAGUACUUUUUUUUUUCUUUCUUCUUUUUUCUUUUUUUCUUUUUUAGGGUAGCAAUAAAAAGUUGGAUCCUAAACCAGUGCCUCAGUAACCAGUUGAAUGAUAAUAACAUCUGUUGUUAAAUAUACAUCUGCUGGAGGGAAGAAACUAUGAGAAUGCCUGCUGUGGCAAGCAUCAAGAAGACCAACACAGUAGGAAACGGAUUUUUUUGUAAUGAAGAGGUACACUCCGUUUUUUAGUGCAUCACUGGAGUGACCGAGUACAAAAUCUACCAUUCCUACCACCCGAUGACAAUAUGAUGGACAAGUUUUGCUAUGAUUUUUUUGUGGACUUUACGCUUGCAAGUGAUGUGUAAAGAAUAUAGGUGUACAAAAACGCAAGCACUGCUUUUCAUUGCCAGCAGGUCUGUCAUCUUAUGAACUGCAGGUAGAUUAGAAAAGCAGUGUUGUAUGUUUUCUGACAAACCUUUUGUAUAAAUAUGUUUAUUUUAUACAGAACCUAACUAGAAGUCUUGAAAAAUGUGUUGCAAAUGUAUUUAUUGUGUAGAUUAUGUGUUUCAUAUACAGUAUAUAUAGCUGAAGACUUGGUUCUAUAAAGUUAAUUAACAUGCCUGAAAAAAGGUGGGGCUGUACCUGCUGCCUUCAUUCUAGAAAACUGCAUGACAAUUUUAGAUGGUAAAUGAUAUACAUGUGAGAGACCAAUUUUUCUUCUUUUUUCUUUAUUUUUUGUUUCAUAUAUACUCCUAUCAGCAGAAAUUAUUGGAGUGACAGAUUCCCCAUUAGCUUACAAGGGUCUGUAAAAGUGGUAGUUGGAGAAAAGCUGAAUCAGGUUACUGCAAAUUCUCAUUUCACCAGUUACCAGGUGGAGUUGUGUUUUGUUAUUUCUUUAUUUAUAUAUUAUUAUUAUUAUUGUUAUUAUUGUUAUUAUUAUUAUUAUUAUUAUUAUUAUUAUUAUUAUUUAUUAUUAUUUAUUAUUAUUUAUUUAUUAAAAAAAAAAAUUGUGGGUAUGUAUUUUUCUUUCUUUCUCUUUUUGAGGGUAUCUUCUGGGCAACUGAAAUUGUUCAAUAAUUGCUGACCAACCUCAUCUGUCUUUAUUCCUACCAGCUUGUCUCGGGUAAAAAAGGAUUACGCACAUUGCGAUUCUCAAGAAGUGAGUGACGUCAUCUUGAACCAGUGCCAUGCUUAAAGAUCAAAACUAUAAAGGAUAUUCUAAUUUAGUGGGGAGGAAGGGACUGUGCACAUCAGUUUUGAAAUAAUACAGGUAUAUAAGCUUCCAGUUUUUAUUAUCCUAUAAACAGCAUAUAUACACAGUUUUUGGGAGAAAGAAAAAGAAGAAGAAAAAAAAAAAAGUUUGCUCUCAUAACAUGUUACAAGGAAUUCUAAGUCUGUAAGGCACUUAUACGUAUUUCUAUGCAAUUCUAAAUGUUGUGGGUCAUGUAAAGAUGAGUGCAAAUGCUCCAUAAUAAUGGUAUUAAAGCAGGAGUGUGCUCACAAUACAGAAAGGUUUAUUUAGUAAUGGUCAGAUGAUAUGUUGAGGAUAUGUAAAUCAUGGUAUUGUAAAUAGUUUUAUUUUGUAGAUUGUGAAUUUACAUGAUAACAAUUAGUUGUAUAGGUCAGGUGACUUGUUGUUUGAGAACUUGUAAAUAAUACUGUAGUAGGAUUGAUUAUUAGUUAUCCUAGACAGUCUGUACCUUGUCAACCAUAAGCCAAAGUGGAAAGUCUCCAACCAUUUAAUACCUCUUUAUACUGUCAUUACUUAAUUAUUAUUUUUUCUUCAGCAAAUGAUAAUUUAAACCUUCAAUUGAUAUGAUUCAAGAACAGGAAAAAGUCUUUGAUACCAAUUGUUACUGACAUUCUAAACCCUUGCAGAGCAUUUUGUACCAUGAAGUUUAGUAAAAGGUUCAUUCCAAGACACAGUGUCCUUGUGUCAUACGACCCUCCUCCCCCAUCCAGCCCCAGAUGAAAGACAUACGGGAAUUAUACACUGAUAAAAUAAUGUUGCUGAUGUGGAAAAAGUAGUUCAGUUUGCUGUGAGUCUUAGUGUAUUCUGAGAUAAGGAAGCAGGAUGCAAGUUUAAUUAAAAAAGAGAGAAAUGUAUAAUUGAUCACUAUACCCAGUGGCAAGCCUCCAUUCCGGCUGCUGGCUACAUGAGGUACUCCAUACUGUCAAUACCAAAUAUGACGAAUCGUCAUUUUAUAUAAACAUAAUUGUCAAGUAAAUGAAUAAAAGUAAGGAUUUU
Long non-coding RNA from Penaeus chinensis, 3021 nucleotides. RefSeq lists it as uncharacterized. The transcript has 2 exons. The record is from RefSeq and is a predicted model, not a curated record. NCBI's taxonomy places the organism in Eukaryota, Metazoa, Arthropoda, Malacostraca, Decapoda, Penaeidae.